CCUACGGGAGGCUGCAGUGGGGAAUAUUGGACAAUGGGGGGAACCCUGAUCCAGCCAUGCCGCGUGUGUGAAGAAGGCCCUCGGGUUGUAAAGCACUUUCAGUGAGGAAGAACGCCUGGUGGUUAAUACCCAUCAGGAAAGACAUCACUCACAGAAGAAGCACUGGCUAACUCCGUGCCAGCAGCCGCGGUAAUACGGAGGGUGCGAGCGUUAAUCGGAAUUACUGGGCGUAAAGCGCGCGUAGGUGGCUUGAUAAGCCGGUUGUGAAAGCCCCGGGCUCAACCUGGGAACGGCAUCCGGAACUGUCAAGCUAGAGUGCAGGAGAGGAAGGUAGAAUUCCCGGUGUAGCGGUGAAAUGCGUAGAGAUCGGGAGGAAUACCAGUGGCGAAGGCGGCCUUCUGGACUGACACUGACACUGAGGUGCGAAAGCGUGGGUAGCAAACAGGAUUAGAUACCCGAGUAGUC
RNAcentral lists this ribosomal RNA (465 nucleotides) under Vreelandella stevensii. RNAcentral describes it as "partial 16S ribosomal RNA". It matches the Rfam family "Bacterial small subunit ribosomal RNA", at positions 338 to 795 of the family's 1533-position model. The record is from RNAcentral. Lineage: Bacteria; Pseudomonadati; Pseudomonadota; Gammaproteobacteria; Oceanospirillales; Halomonadaceae.